GAAGGGACCUAGCGUAGUUCGGAAUUACUGGGCUUAAAGAGUUAGUAGGUGGUUGAAAAAGUUGGUGGUGAAAUCCCAGAGCUUAACUCUGGAACUGCCAUCAAAACUUUUCAGCUAGAGUAUGAUAGAGGAAAGCAGAAUUUCUAGUGUAGAGGUGAAAUUCGUAGAUAUUAGAAAGAAUACCAAUUGCGAAGGCAGCUUUCUGGAUCAUUACUGACACUGAGGAACGAAAGCAUGGGUAGCGAAGAGGAUUAGAUACCCUCGUAGUCCAUGCCGUAAACGAUGUGUGUUAGACGUUGGAAAUUUAUUUUCAGUGUCGCAGGGAACCGAUAACACACCGCCUGGGAGUACGACCGCAAGUUAAAACUCAAAUGAAUUGACGGGACCGACAAGUAGUGGAGCAUGUGGUUAAUUCGAGAUACGCGCAGACCUUACCACACUUGACAUGUUCGUCGCGACUCUAGAGAUUCAAUUUCGUCGCGACGAACACAGGUGCUGCAUGGCUG
RNAcentral lists this ribosomal RNA (506 nucleotides) under uncultured marine bacterium. RNAcentral describes it as "bacterial SSU rRNA". It matches the Rfam family "Bacterial small subunit ribosomal RNA", at positions 527 to 1051 of the family's 1533-position model. The record is from RNAcentral.